GAUGAACGCUGGCGGCGUGCCUAAUACAUGCAAGUCGAGCGAACGGACUAGAAGCUUGCUUCUCUGAUGUUAGCGGCGGACGGGUGAGUAACACGUGGAUACCCUACCUAUAUGACUGGGAUACCUUCGGGAAACCGUAGCUAAUACCGGAUAAUAUUUUGAACCGCAUGGUUCAAAAGUGAAAGACGGUCUUGCUGUCACUUAUAGAUGGAUCCCCGCUGCAUUAGCUAGUUGGUAAGGUAACGGUUUACCAAGGCCACGAUGGAUAGCCGACCGGAGAGGCGGGUAGGCGACCCUGGAAGGGAGACGGGGACAAGAGGACUAAGGGAGGGAGCAGAAGGGAAUGUGAGGCAAUGGGGGAAAGCAUGACGGAGCAAGGGCGCGUGAGAGAUGAAGGUGUUGGGUGCGGAAAACCCGGUUAUGAGGGAAGAACAUAUGUGGAAGGAAAUGUGGAGAUAGUGACGGUACCUAAUCAGAAAGCCACGGCUAACUACGUG
This 497-nucleotide ribosomal RNA is filed under the name uncultured bacterium. RNAcentral's name for it is "partial 16S ribosomal RNA". It matches the Rfam family "Bacterial small subunit ribosomal RNA", at positions 28 to 507 of the family's 1533-position model. The record is from RNAcentral.